This 433-nucleotide ribosomal RNA is filed under the name uncultured bacterium. RNAcentral's name for it is "partial 16S ribosomal RNA". It matches the Rfam family "Bacterial small subunit ribosomal RNA", at positions 29 to 507 of the family's 1533-position model. The record is from RNAcentral.
AACGAACGCUGGCGGCAUGCCUAACACAUGCAAGUCGAACGAUACCUUCCGUUCGAGGGGCGCACUGGUGCGUAACGCGUGAGAACCUGCCCUUACGGUCGGAAUAACUCCCCUAAAGCGGUGCUAAUACCGGUUAAUGUCUUCGGACCAAAGAUUUAUCGCCAUUGGAUGGGCCCGCGUUUGAUUAGCUAGUGGGUAGGGUCAAAGCCUACCGAGGCUGCGAUCCAUAGCUGGUCUGAGAGGAGGACCAGCCACACUGGGAAUGAGACCCGGCCCACACUCGUACGGGAGGCAGCAGUGGGGAAUAUUGGACGAUGAGGGAAAGCGUAAUCCAGCAAUGCCGCGUGAGUGAUGAAGGGCUUAGGGUUGUAAAGCUCUUUUACCCGGGAUGAAAAUGACAGUACCGGGAGAAGAAGCUCCGGCUAACUACGUG